Long non-coding RNA from Peromyscus eremicus (cactus mouse), 730 nucleotides. RefSeq lists it as uncharacterized. Lineage: Eukaryota; Metazoa; Chordata; Mammalia; Rodentia; Cricetidae. The transcript is spliced from 2 exons. The record is from RefSeq and is a predicted model, not a curated record.
GAAAGAAAAAUAAUAGAUAUCAAAGUUUGUGAUUCAACAGGCUUCUGGACCUUUCCCACUUUCGGUUGCCCUUGAUAUCCCGUGAGAAAUCUCACCCCCGACCUGCGGUACUGCUGAUCUCCCAAGAAGGCUUUUAAAUCACCCACUGUAAAGUAUUAGUGUUGAUAUUAAUUUUUCAAAUAAAAUCCUUACCUAGUACAAAUGCCACAGCAAACUAGCCACAGGAGAUUUUAUACAUGGAGAGGUGUAAGAACUCACCUGAUAAAUGCCAAGGAGAUAACGUAGUCAGCAUUGACGCUGAUCGUCCAGUCACAGUCCCUGCUAUGCGGAUACGGAUGAGGGAAGUUUGGCGAAAGGAUAAAGCCUGAAGAUCCUGUUAAAUUGCCUCCACAAGUAUCAAAAGAUCUGUAUCUUGAAUCUUUAGAGAGUGUGACUUGGAGAUUUGAGAACAAGCACGAGGACAAAAGUCAGGCAAGUGAAAGCAUGGGACGAGGUCUGGACACUCCUCAGAUCUUCAAAACAAUGCUUGAUGCUCUUUUGAUAUUCCCAACUUGAAUGGAAAACCAGCCCUUUGAAUCUCUCAAAAAAGCUGCUGAUACAAGUUUCUUAGAAGAAGUAAGCAUGUUGGGAGUAAAUCAACCCAGCUCAUUCUAAAUGUAGAUUCUCGGUGCCUCUACAUUUUAAAGCAAAAGAUAACAGCUUUAUCCAAUGAAUAAAGGCUGAGAAAAUA